This 82-nucleotide transfer RNA is filed under the name Escherichia coli. RNAcentral describes it as "tRNA-Lys". It matches the Rfam family "tRNA". From Rfam's summary of the family: Transfer RNA (tRNA) molecules are approximately 80 nucleotides in length. Their secondary structure includes four short double-helical elements and three loops (D, anti-codon, and T loops). The record is from RNAcentral. Lineage: Bacteria; Pseudomonadati; Pseudomonadota; Gammaproteobacteria; Enterobacterales; Enterobacteriaceae.
GGGUGAUUAGCUCAGCUGGGAGAGCUAGAGCAGUUGACUUUUAAUCAAUUGGUCGCAGGUUCGAAUCCUGCACGACCCACCA